ACUCCUACGGGAGGCAGCAGUGGGGAAUAUUGCACAAUGGGGGAAACCCUGAUGCAGCCAUGCCGCGUGUGUGAAGAAGGCCUUCGGGUUGUAAAGCACUUUCAGUAGGGAGGAAGGUAGUGUAGUUAACACCUGCAUUAUUUGACGUUACCUACAGAAGAAGCACCGGCUAACUCCGUGCCAGCAGCCGCGGUAAUACGGAGGGUGCGAGCGUUAAUCGGAAUUACUGGGCGUAAAAGCGCAUGCAGGCGGCCUGUUAAGUCAGAUGUGAAAGCCCGGGGCUUAACCUCGGAAUUGCAUUUGAAACUGGCAGGCUAGAGUCUUGUAGAGGGGGGUAGAAUUUCAGGUGUAGCGGUGAAAUGCGUAGAGAUCUGAAGGAAUACCAGUGGCGGAAGGCGGCCCCCUGGACAAAAGACUGACGCUCAGAUGCGAAAGCGUGGGGAGCAAAACAGGAUUAGAUACCCUGGUAGCACAGAG
Molecule: ribosomal RNA, 477 nt
Filed under: uncultured bacterium
Lineage: Bacteria
Description: bacterial SSU rRNA
Rfam family: Bacterial small subunit ribosomal RNA
Source: RNAcentral